AGAUUGAACGCUGGCGGCAGGCCUAACACAUGCAAGUCGAGCGGCAGCACGGGUACUUGUACCUGGUGGCGAGCGGCGGACGGGUGAGUAAUGCCUAGGAAUCUGCCUGAUAGUGGGGGAUAACGUUCGGAAACGGACGCUAAUACCGCAUACGUCCUACGGGAGAAAGUGGGGGAUCUUCGGACCUCACGCUAUCAGAUGAGCCUAGGUCGGAUUAGCUAGUUGGUAGGUAAGCCUACCAAGGC
This 245-nucleotide ribosomal RNA is filed under the name uncultured soil bacterium. RNAcentral describes it as "partial 16S ribosomal RNA". It matches the Rfam family "Bacterial small subunit ribosomal RNA", at positions 26 to 274 of the family's 1533-position model. The record is from RNAcentral.